CUCUCUGAAAACUGAAGCUAAUUUGGAAGUUCUGAAGUCAAUACCCAGUGAAAAACUAAUGAUUGAGACAGAUGCACCUUGGUGUGGAGUUAAAAGUACACAUGCUGGAUCAAAAUAUAUAAAAACUGCAUUUCCUACCAAAAAGAAGUGGGAAGCCGGGUGCUGUUUAAAAGACAGGAACGAGCCCUGCCACAUAGUAUUUCCAGAACCAAGAAGUAAUAACAGGAAAGGAAGGAGAAGAUCCAUGCAUUUUACAAGCCAUGGCAUGAAGUGUUCUUAGGAGACGAACUUGCUAUAUAUGUAGUUCAAACUAGCCUUCCACUUGUGCCCUCCUCCCUAUACCCAGAAGACUAAGAUUAAAGGUGUGUAAAGUCUGUUCAUUCUUAAGUCUUCUGCAAACUCAUGACUAAAAUUUAGAAGGAAAUAAAAUAACAUUUAUAUCUCUCCAUAUUCCUAAGUACCUUUAAAGCAUUCAAAAGCAGACAAAGAAACACAGUAAUAAAAUACAUUACUCCUUUA
This 519-nucleotide long non-coding RNA is filed under the name Rattus norvegicus (Norway rat). RNAcentral's name for it is "long non-coding RNA NONRATT026967". Lineage: Eukaryota; Metazoa; Chordata; Mammalia; Rodentia; Muridae. The record is from RNAcentral.